RNAcentral lists this ribosomal RNA (440 nucleotides) under uncultured bacterium. Its description in RNAcentral is "partial 16S ribosomal RNA". It matches the Rfam family "Bacterial small subunit ribosomal RNA", at positions 338 to 795 of the family's 1533-position model. The record is from RNAcentral.
CCUACGGGAGGCAGCAGUGGGGGAUAUUGCACAAUGGGGGAAACCCUGAUGCAGCGACGCCGCGUGUGGGAAGACGGUCCUCUGGAUUGUAAACCACUGUCCCCAGGGACGAAGAUGACGGUACCUGGGGAGGAAGCUCCGGCUAACUACGUGCCAGCAGUCGCGGUAAUACGUAGGGAGCGAGCGUUGUCCGGAAUUACUGGGUGUAAAGGGAGCGUAGGGGGGGAUGAAAGUGGGGGGUAAAGACUACCGGCUAACCUGGUAGUCGCACUCAAAACUGCAGCUCUUGAGUGAAGUAGAGGCAGGCGGAAUUCCUAGUGUAGCGGUGAAAUGCGUAGAUAUUAGGAGGAACACCAGUGGCGAAGGCGGCCUGCUGGGCUUUUACUGACGCUGAGGCUCGAAAGUGUGGGGAGCAAACAGGAUUAGAUACCCGGGUAGUC